RNAcentral lists this ribosomal RNA (468 nucleotides) under uncultured bacterium. Its description in RNAcentral is "partial 16S ribosomal RNA". It matches the Rfam family "Bacterial small subunit ribosomal RNA", at positions 28 to 507 of the family's 1533-position model. The record is from RNAcentral.
GACGAACGCUGGCGGCGUGCUUAACACAUGCAAGUCGAACGGAAAGGCCCUGCUUUUGUGGGGUGCUCGAGUGGCGAAAGGGUGAGUAACACGUGAGUAACCUGCCCUUGACUUUGGGAUAACUUCAGGAAACUGGGGCUAAUACCGGAUAGGAGCUCCUGCUGCAUGGGGGGGGUUGGAAAGUUUCGGCGGUUGGGGAUGGACUCGCGGCUUAUCAGCUUGUUGGUGGGGUAGUGGCUUACCAAGGCGUUGACGGGUAGCCGGCCUGAGAGGGUGACCGGCCACAUUGGGACUGAGAUACGGCCCAGACUCCUACGGGAGGCAGCAGUGGGGAAUAUUGCACAAUGGGCGGAAGCCUGAUGCAGCAACGCCGCGUGCGGGAUGACGGCCUUCGGGUUGUAAACCGCUUUCGCCUGUGACGAAGCGUGAGUGACGGUAAUGGGUAAAGAAGCACCGGCUAACUACGUG